Molecule: ribosomal RNA, 496 nt
Filed under: uncultured bacterium
Lineage: Bacteria
Description: partial 16S ribosomal RNA
Rfam family: Bacterial small subunit ribosomal RNA
Source: RNAcentral
GAUGAACGCUGGCGGCGUGCCUAAUACAUGCAAGUCGAGCGAACGGACGAGAAGCUUGCUUCUCUGAUGUUAGCGGCGGACGGGUGAGUAACACGUGGAUAACCUACCUAUAAGACUGGGAUAACUUCGGGAAACCGGAGCUAAUACCGGAUAAUAUUUUGAACCGCAUGGUUCAAAAGUGAAAGACGGUCUUGCUGUCACUUAUAGAUGGAUCCGCGCUGCAUUAGCUAGUUGGUAAGGUACGGCUUACCAAGGCAACGAUGCAUAGCCGACCUGAGAGGGUGAUCGGCCACACUGGAACUGAGACACGGUCCAGACUCCUACGGGAGGCAGCAGUAGGGAAUCUUCCGCAAUGGGCGAAAGCCUGACGGAGCAACGCCGCGUGAGUGAUGAAGGUCUUCGGAUCGUAAAACUCUGUUAUUAGGGAAGAACAUAUGUGUAAGUAACUGUGCACAUCUUGACGGUACCUAAUCAGAAAGCCACGGCUAACUACGUG